This is a long non-coding RNA of Erigeron canadensis, 1720 nucleotides long. RefSeq lists it as uncharacterized. The record is from RefSeq and is a predicted model, not a curated record. The transcript has 7 exons. NCBI's taxonomy places the organism in Eukaryota, Viridiplantae, Streptophyta, Magnoliopsida, Asterales, Asteraceae.
UCUGGUAACCGUCCAAACACACACAACACAUAUUUCACAUAGUGACCUAAUUCCUCAAUUAAUUACCAUAAUCAAGCUUAAAUUCAAUAUAAUUUCGAUCCUACAAUUAGGAUCAGAUCUAUGGAGAUGAUUAUUGACCAAAUUAAAGUUUUUUAAGAUCUUUUCAAGGUCAAUUUCGGUAUAUAUUUGACGGACCGAGUUCUGUAGGACAUUCUCGGCAUCUACUAAAUGUUCAGUAUUGAAUGCAUCCUUCCAUUAGUUUCUUCCCUACUUGGAUGUUUUAUCAAAAUCAGUUAUCGAGUAGUGUUGGAUCACGGGAAGAAUAUUUGGGUUGGAAAGCUUCAAAAUGUGAGUACACAUCGACGCUCUCUUUUUGCUAAUAGUUGACCAUUGGCUGGUAACUACAAAUGAAGGCAGCCAAAGAGUUUGAAUUCCUUGAUUUCCGUUGAUGUCAACGACCAUGACAAUUUAAGUCAGGCUAUUUAUUGGUUACUUUUCCUGGCGACAAGGAGGGAGGAUCAGUAUUUGAAAAUUGUCAAAAGUUAGGAUGUAAACAUCGUUGGCCAAAACUUCAUGAUAGGUUCUGGGGUAGUGUUUGAUCGCUAGAAGAAUUGACAAAUUGAACUUGUCCACUUCAUGUCAGGUUGAACUUUGUCACUUCUUAAAUAAAUUAAACGUCACAAUCUAUCUUUUGAAAGUAAGAGACCAGGGUCAACUUGGCGCACCCGUUUUGAUAUUUACUAGAUAAUUACCUAUCUUGUCACGAACCCAUAUUUACCUGUUGCCAAGCGGCCUAUGACACCCAUUUUGACACAUCUGCUUUUUGGUCGAUAGGUGCGAAUCUUAGUCAUUUCGUAUGAUAUGCUAUUUAGUUGCUAGUUUUAUAAAGAUUCCUUCCGAUUAUGUGACAUUCUUUGGUAAUGAGAAUGGAAAUGGUGUAAAACGUGUGGGUUGCUUACUUUUGAGAGCAUAGAUGUGGUGGAUAUCCCUGUCCUUUCACACUGAUGUCAUGCAUUAUAAAUAACCUUACACAUAGAUGGUCAUAGCAGAGGCAUGAAGGUUGGGUUUUCUUGGGUCAUGUAUUACAAGGUUUCAGCUUGAGAUGAUCCUUGACAGCCAGGGUGUUCCAUGGGUCAAUAGUCAAUACGCCACUCUCUAUGCCCAGCAUCUCUUUACUCAUACAAAGAGAACCACCAAUUGUUGCUCCAAAGCCACUUUGUAUAUGUCUCGAGUUUGUCAGCCGGGUUUAUGAAUUAUGAUACAUCAUCUCAGCCGGAUUGGUAGAAACAAGAGUACAACUUGGAAGCUGCGGAGAAGUUGGCCAGGUGGAUCGGGAUCCGGUUUUCCUCCAUAGGGAUAAAAGGAGGGAAGAUUUCAACCUAAAAAUUUCAUGGUGUUUAAGCAAGAAUGGGUUAUAGGCCAUUGGGAUCAGAGCUAUGGGGAUGAUUAAAGGCCAGAUUAUUAGGUUUUUUGGAGUGGAAUCUGGUUAAACAGAGGCUGUGUUUGGUUCGAAAGUUGUUAUCCUCCAUUAAAGUUGAUUUCAAAUCUUUUCGAGGUCAAUUUCGGUACUAUUCUCUUCAGCCCUAAGCUGUGAUUUUAUAUCAGUUCCAUUGAGAAAGUGUUUCCACUCGUUUAUAUUGAUUAAUUCACUCAAAACACCAUUGCUUUGUGAAUUUAAUUGCUGAAAAUUCAAUUAGUUUUGUGAUUUGGGUUCUCGAAA